Molecule: ribosomal RNA, 253 nt
Filed under: uncultured bacterium
Lineage: Bacteria
Description: partial 16S ribosomal RNA
Rfam family: Bacterial small subunit ribosomal RNA
Source: RNAcentral
UACGUAGGGUCCGAGCGUUGUCCGGAAUUAUUGGGCGUAAAGAGCGUGUAGGCGGUCCGGUAAGUCCGCUGUGAAAGUCGGGGGCUCAACCCUCGAAUGCCGGUGGAUACUGUCGGGCUAGAGUGCGGAAGAGGCGAGUGGAAUUCCUGGUGUAGCGGUGAAAUGCGCAGAUAUCAGGAGGAACACCUAUUGCGAAGGCAGCUCGCUGGGACGUAACUGACGCUGAGACGCGAAAGCGUGGGGAGCAAACAGG